AGAGUUUGAUCCUGGCUCAGGAUUAACGCUGGCGGCAUGCCUAAUACAUGCAAGUCGAACGGAAAAUAUAGAAGUGCUUGCACAUUUAUAUUUUUAGUGGCGAACGGGUGAGUAAUAUAUAGAUAACCUACCUUCCAGUUGGGGAUAACAGAGGGAAACUUCUGCUAACACCGAAUAUGAUAAAGAAACACAAGUAAUUUUAUUGAAAGGGGCUCCAAAGCCUCGCUAGAAGAGGGGUCUAUAUCGCAUUAGCUAGUUGGUAAGAUAACAGCCUACCAAGGCGAUGAUGCGUAGCUGUACUGAGAGGUAGAACAGCCACAUUGGGACUGAGAUACGGCCCAAACUCCUACGGGAGGCAGCAGUGGGGGAUAUUGCACAAUGGGGGAAACCCUGAUGCAGCGACGCCGCGUGAGCGAAGAAGUAUUUCGGUAUGUAAAGCUCUAUCAGCAGGGAAGAAAAUGACGGUACCUGACUAAGAAGCCCCGGCUAACUACGUGCUAGCAGCCGCGGUAAUACGUAGGGGGCAAGCGUUAUCCGGAUUUACUGGGUGUAAAGGGAGCGUAGACGGCAAGACAAGCCAGAUGUGAAAGGCAGGGGCUCAACCUCUGGAUUGCAUUUGGAACUGCCUGGCUAGAGUGUCGGAGAGGUAAGUGGAAUUCCUAGUGUAGCGGUGAAAUGCGUAGAUAUUAGGAGGAACACCAGUGGCGAAGGCGGCUUACUGGACGACAACUGACGUUGAGGCUCGAAAGCGUGGGGAGCAAACAGGAUUAGAUACCCUGGUAGUCCACGCGGUAAACGAUGAAUACUAGGUGUCGGGGACCAAAAGGUGUUCGGUGCCGCAGCAAACGCAAUAAGUAUUCCACCUGGGGAGUACGUUCGCAAGAAUGAAACUCAAAGGAAUUGACGGGGACCCGCACAAGCGGUGGAGCAUGUGGUUUAAUUCGAAGCAACGCGAAGAACCUUACCAAGUCUUGACAUCCCAAUGACAGGGACUUAACCGUCCCCUCUCUACGGAGCAUUGGAGACAGGUGGUGCAUGGUUGUCGUCAGCUCGUGUCGUGAGAUGUUGGGUUAAGUCCCGCAACGAGCGCAACCCUUAUCUUUAGUAGCCAGCAGGUAGAGCUGGGCACUCUAGAGAGACUGUCGGGGAUAACCCGGAGGAAGGUGGGGAUGACGUCAAAUCAUCAUGCCCCUUAUGAUUUGGGCUACACACGUGCUACAAUGGCGUAAACAAAGGGAAGCAACCCUGCGAAGGCAAGCAAAUCCCAAAAAUAACGUCUCAGUUCGGAUUGUAGUCUGCAACUCGACUACAUGAAGCUGGAAUCGCUAGUAAUCGCGGAUCAGAAUGCCGCGGUGAAUACGUUCCCGGGUCUUGCACUCACCGCCCGUCA
This 1390-nucleotide ribosomal RNA is filed under the name uncultured bacterium. RNAcentral's name for it is "bacterial SSU rRNA". It matches the Rfam family "Bacterial small subunit ribosomal RNA". The record is from RNAcentral.